RNAcentral lists this transfer RNA (112 nucleotides) under Erythrobacter sp. NAP1. Its description in RNAcentral is "tRNA-Val". The record is from RNAcentral. Lineage: Bacteria; Pseudomonadati; Pseudomonadota; Alphaproteobacteria; Sphingomonadales; Erythrobacteraceae.
GAGGCGCUGGCCUGCGGCGACGGCCUGCACAUAACGGUUGCGACAAGGCAAAUUCGCUCUGCAAGCCGGCGAAAUCGGACGAUGCGCGUGCGCUCGCGAUGCGUGCGCUUCG